UAGGGAAUCUUGGACAAUGGGCGAAAGCCUGAUCCAGCCAUGCCGCGUGAGUGAAGAAGGCCUUAGGGUUGUAAAGCUCUUUUAGCGGGGAAGAUAAUGACGGUACCCGCAGAAUAAGCCCCGGCUAACUUCGUGCCAGCAGCCGCGGUAAUACGAAGGGGGCUAGCGUUGUUCGGAAUUACUGGGCGUAAAGCGCACGCAGGUGGAUUGAUAAGUCAGGGGUGAAAUCCCGGGGCUCAACCUCGGAAUUGCCUUUGAUACUGCCAGUCUUGAGUCCGGGAGAGGUGAGUGGAAUUCCUAGUGUAGAGGUGAAAUUCGUAGAUAUUAGGAAGAACACCAGUGGCGAAGGCGGCUCACUGGCCCGGUACUGACGCUCAGGUGCGAAAGCGUGGGGAGCAAACAGGAUUAGAUACCCUGGUAGUCCACGCCGUAAACGAUGGAUGCUAGCCGUUGGGGAGCUUGCUCUUCAGUGGCGCAGCUAACGUCUUAAGCAUCCCGCCUGGGGAGUACGGUCGCAAGAUA
This 522-nucleotide ribosomal RNA is filed under the name uncultured bacterium. RNAcentral describes it as "bacterial SSU rRNA". It matches the Rfam family "Bacterial small subunit ribosomal RNA", at positions 355 to 895 of the family's 1533-position model. The record is from RNAcentral.